RNAcentral lists this ribosomal RNA (500 nucleotides) under uncultured bacterium. RNAcentral's name for it is "partial 16S ribosomal RNA". It matches the Rfam family "Bacterial small subunit ribosomal RNA", at positions 30 to 523 of the family's 1533-position model. The record is from RNAcentral.
AUUGAACGCUGGCGGAAUGCUUUACACAUGCAAGUCGAACGGCAGCACGGACUUCGGUCUGGUGGCGAGUGGCGAACGGGUGAGUAAUGUAUCGGAACGUGCCCAGUCGUGGGGGAUAACGUAGUGAAAAUUACGCUAAUACCGCAUACGAUCUAUGGAUGAAAGCGGGGGAUCGCAAGACCUCGCGCGAUUGGAGCGGCCGAUAUCAGAUUAGGUAGUUGGUGGGGUAAAGGCCCACCAAGCCAACGAUCUGUAGCUGGUCUGAGAGGACGAACAGCCUCACUGGAACUGAGACACGGUCCAGACUCCUACGGGAGGCAGCAGUGGGGAAUUUUGGACAAGGGGCGAAAGCCUGAUCCAGCCAUUCCGCGUGCAGGAUGAAGGCCCUCGGGUUGUAAACUGCUUUUGUACAGAACGAAAAGGUUUCUACUAAUACUAGGAGCUCAUGACGGUACUGUAAGAAUAAGCACCGGCUAACUACGUGCCAGCCGCCGCCGUAA